CAAGGAGAAGAAAGAUGAAGAAUAAGUUUUUCAGAAAAUAGAAUAGGAAAUAAUAAUAUAUUAUCUAGAAUAUGCAGAAGACAACCUAAUAUAGAGCAGAACCAAGAACUUAACGAAAUAAUAGAUGUAGACAAAGACUUACAAAUUUUUCAACAACAUCAAUUAAAAUUAUUAAAUCCUAAAACACUAUAUAACGCCGGAUAUUUUUCUACAGAUAAUCAGUUAUAUAGACAUUAUAGAGAAGAACAAAUA
RNAcentral lists this long non-coding RNA (252 nucleotides) under Capsicum annuum. Its description in RNAcentral is "long non-coding RNA (CANN_LNC011699)". The record is from RNAcentral. Lineage: Eukaryota; Viridiplantae; Streptophyta; Magnoliopsida; Solanales; Solanaceae.